This 3519-nucleotide small RNA is filed under the name Pan troglodytes (chimpanzee). RNAcentral's name for it is "retained intron". The record is from RNAcentral. Lineage: Eukaryota; Metazoa; Chordata; Mammalia; Primates; Hominidae.
GUCAGUCAGUCUGACGGUCAGUGAAUCGGUGGGUUUAUCUCAAGGCCUGAGUAGCCGGUAACAAACGAGGGUUCCCGGGAUUGGACCGACGCAGCCAUGCCACUGCGACUUGAUAUCAAAAGAAAGCUAACUGCUAGAUCUGAUCGAGUUAAGAGUGUGGAUCUGCAUCCUACAGAGCCAUGGAUGUUGGCAAGUCUUUACAAUGGCAGUGUGUGUGUUUGGAAUCAUGAAACACAGGUAGGAAUUUUUCAGGACUUUAUUAGAAAUAAAAUACUAUGUGAGACUGUGUUUAUAAUGAAAGAGAAGAAAUACUAUAACAGAAUCCAGAAUCUAUAUGCAAACUGCUUUCUCAAGUUGGUGCAAAGUAUUUUAAAUAUGAAGGAACUAACGUUUAUGAGGGGAUAGUUUGUAGGAGAAACUGUCCUGGGUAUGUUAAAUACAAUAUUUAAAUAUAACAACUCUGACUUAGGUAGUAUUAGCUCUUUUUUGAAAUUGAGAAAACUGAUGGUAUUAUAGAAUCACUUGCUAAAGUAUUUAAUCGUUAGUUUUCCAUUCAGUGAAUACUCUAUCUUAAGAAUGAUAUCGUUAAAUUUAUUUUUCUCCCAGAUGCCCAAUAUAAUGAUACACAGAUAAAUCUUUCACUCAGCCAUAUAGAUUAUAUCAGGGAAAUAUUUAUAGUCAGCUUUUGAUUAUACACACAUCUUACAGAUUGUCUGCCUGAAUGCUUGACUCAUUCUCUUUCACCUGAGUAAAUAACAUAUCCUUCAAAUUAGUUUGUCUCAUAUUUUCCAGUCUUCCUAGACUGUAUUUAAGAGUACAAAGCAUAUAGUUAGCACUAUACUAUACAGUUGUGUCUACUUAUAUAGUAAUUAUCCUUAACGUCCAAAGUUCUUGAAAUCCAGGUAAAAUUCGCAUUUGAGGAAUUUAAAAUGGCAAAAUGGCAUCAAGGAACCAAAGCCAGAAGUAAACCUAAAAACACCUUUAUACUUUUAUACUCACUGUAAUGAAACAGAAAUGACUGUACACUAAACUCAUACCCUGUAUUAGUCUGUUCUCACACUGCUGUAAAGAACUACCUGAGACUGGGUAAUUUAUGAAGGAAAGAGGUUUAAUUGACUCACAGUUCCACAGGCUUAACAGGAAGCAUGACUGGGAGGCCUCAGAAAACUUAAAAUUUUGGCAGCAGGUGAAGGGGAAGCAAGCACCUUCUUAACAUGAUGGCAGGAGAGAAAGAGCAAAGUGGGAAGUGCCACACACUUUUAAACCAUCAGAUCUCAUGAGAAGUCACUAUCACGAGAACGGCAAGGGGGAAAUCCACCCCCAUGAUCCAAUCACCUCCCACCAGGGCCCUCCUCCAAUUUGACAUGAGAUUUGGGUGGGGAUACAAAUCCAAACCAUAUCAUAGUCCAUCAGUGACAUUUUAUAUAAAUUAACAUUUUGUUUUCUGCUGUAUCUCAGUACCUAUAACAUUACCUGGCACAUAGUAAAUGCUCAAUAAUUAUUUGUUCAACGAAUGAAUAAUAUGCAUUUCACUUAUCACUAGUUCAGUAUUUGUGUUCUCUACAAUUUCAGAUCUUUAUCUUGUGAAUUGUUUUUGCUUUGAUGCAAAUAACUGUUUUUUUUUUCCUUUUUGUUUAGUUCUUGAGAUGUUUAAAAUAUUUCUGAUUUUAUGUUUAACAGAUAUGUUGGUGUCCUCUCUCUCUGAUUAUUCCUAGGGAUUCCCUCUUAUCAGCUACAUUUACCUAUCUCAGCUCUAUCACUUGAUCAUCGUAUGUUCUAAAGCCCAGGCGUACUUUUCUUAUCUUUCUCUAGGCUUUAUUAUAAUAUAUCUCUGCUUUAUCUGCAUUUCCACUUUGCCUCCUUUUUCUCUUCUAUACCUUUUUCUGCCCUAUGACAGGACCAUCUGCUUCCCCUUUCAUAAUUCAUCUCAGUGGUAAUUUCAUGUUUAAUUUCCUUCUUUCCUCUAAGAAUAGAGGUUCUGUGAGGACAAGGAUUACCCUCAUCUUAUUUCCCACUGUUGGUCCAGUGCAUGAGGCACUACCUGAUACACUGUCAGGCUCCUGGUAGAUAGUUAGUCUUUGUUGAAUGAUUAAUCUGUCUUUGAUUCUCCCUGUUUUUUCCCUGUGUUUAUAUCACCAACAGUAUUUACCACUCCUGUAUUGAGAGCAAAUUCUUGAGAGAGCCAAAAAGGUUUUUGGAAGUAAAAAGGUUUUUAGAUGUACUUGAAUUUCAAAUAAGGAGAUACUAUAUAUUCUUUGAGGUGGUACAUGCAGUGGUUUAAAAAACAUAGUAUUUUAGGAUUUGAAGCCAACUUGCUGAUUAAAUUAUAUAGGCAAGCCUUUUAACCAUGCUGAGCCUCUUUAUUUAUCUGAAGUGAAGAUGAUAUUAUUGCCUUGCCUACAUCACAGGAUUGUCAAAAAGAUAAAAUAAAAUUAGAUAAAAUUGUGUAUGAAACCUAUAAAGUACCAUAUAAGUAUUAGUCAUUAGUUAUACUUUCCUAGUCUACAUUGAGUAUUUGUAUGUAUUGUGUGUGUAGCUUUUCUUACUCUUUAUUUGCAUCAGUCAUAGCCCCUAACAUGGCGUUGAACCUUGGCUAUUUCUUCUGCAGCUGCUUUAUUUUUACUGCUCAGCAGAUCCCUGGAUUUGUUGGCUCCUCAUGAGCUUUUGUGGAUUUUUCUGCCGUGUUAUAGAUCGCAUGUUCUGUCUACUCUCAGUGUCUGUAUCAUAGUCAGCUGGUAGUGAUUCUACAGGUUGGAGUUGAAGUGCCUACUCAUUCAGCCUUUGUCUAAAGAAUCUUUGAACUCUGGCUUGAAAAGUCAGAGUAGGACAGUUCUUAUGAACCGGUCCCUAUUACUUUUUUAGUGCACACGGUUAAUCAAUCAGUAAGAUUAUAUUAUGUUUCUUAGUUAUUUCAUUUUUGUCUCUGAUACAAAAAAGGAUUGGAAAAUGAUAGUUUGACUUUCAGACUUUUAAGAACAGGCAUCAAAGAAGGAGAACAAAGAGGUACCAUGAUCUCUGCUCUUUCUAGGAGGGUCUCUACCUUUAUCCUAUGUGUAUAAUUCCAUUCUGAGCAGCUCGGAGGAACAUAUAAGUCACGGUGUUUUCAUAUUUUAUUAAAAAGAAAUAAUAACAUUUGUAUGGAAUCAUAUUGCUAAAGCAUGCAAAAGAAUUGUACCUUAUUCAUGAGUCACUUUUAUGGGUUUCAAUUUCAAAAAGACUGACUAGGUGCAGUGGCUCACGCCUGUAAUCCCAGCACUUGGGAGGCUGAGACGGGUGGAUCACUUGAGGCCAGGAGUUCGAGACCACCUUGGCCAACAUGGUGAAACCCCGUCUGUACAAAAAAUACAAGAAUUUGCUUGGCAUGGUGGUGCACACCUGUAAUCCCAGCUACUUGGGUAACUGAAGCAUGAGAAUCACUUGAACCUGGGAGGCGGAGGUCGCAGUGAGCCAAGAUUGUGCCACUGUACUGCACUUCAGCCUGGGUGACAGAGUAAGACUGUCUCAAAAAAAAAAAAAAAA